Transfer RNA from Batrachochytrium dendrobatidis JAM81, 73 nucleotides. It matches the Rfam family "tRNA". Rfam says of the family: Transfer RNA (tRNA) molecules are approximately 80 nucleotides in length. The record is from Rfam. NCBI's taxonomy places the organism in Eukaryota, Fungi, Chytridiomycota, Chytridiomycetes, Rhizophydiales.
GGCCGGGUGGCGCAAUGGAUAGCGCGUUGGACUUCGAAUCCAGAGGUUGCGGGUUCGAGUCCCGUCCUGGUCG